RNAcentral lists this ribosomal RNA (253 nucleotides) under uncultured bacterium. RNAcentral's name for it is "partial 16S ribosomal RNA". It matches the Rfam family "Bacterial small subunit ribosomal RNA", at positions 524 to 776 of the family's 1533-position model. The record is from RNAcentral.
AACGAAGGGGGCAAGCGUUGUCCGGAAUCAUUGGGCGUAAAGCGCGUGUAGGCGGCUCAAUAAGACUGCUGUGAAAGACCAGAGCUCAACCCGGGUAAGCCGGUGGAAACUGUCGGGCUAGAGUCCGGAAGGGGCGAGGGGAAUUCCUGGUGUAGCGGUGAAAUGCGCAGAUAUCAGGAGGAACACCAAUGGCGUAGGCAGCUCGUUGGCAAGGUACUGACGCUGAGACGCGAAAGCGUGGGGAGCAAACAGG